RNAcentral lists this ribosomal RNA (568 nucleotides) under uncultured bacterium. Its description in RNAcentral is "partial 16S ribosomal RNA". It matches the Rfam family "Bacterial small subunit ribosomal RNA", at positions 356 to 920 of the family's 1533-position model. The record is from RNAcentral.
UGGGAAUUUUGGACAAUGGGCGAAGCCUGAUCCAGCAAUGCCGCGUGUGUGAAGAAGGCCUUCGGGUUGUAAAGCACUUUUGUCCGGAAAGAAAUCCUUGGCUCUAAUACAGUCGGGGGAUGACGGUACCGGAAGAAUAAGCACCGGCUAACUACGUGCCAGCAGCCGCGGUAAUACGUAGGGUGCAAGCGUUAAUCGGAAUUACUGGGCGUAAAGCGUGCGCAGGCGGUUUGCUAAGACCGAUGUGAAAUCCCCGGGCUCAACCUGGGAACUGCAUUGGUGACUGGCAGGCUAGAGUAUGGCAGAGGGGGGUAGAAUUCCACGUGUAGCAGUGAAAUGCGUAGAGAUGUGGAGAAUACCGAUGGCGAAGGCAGCCCCCUGGGCCAAUACUGACGCUCAUGCACGAAAGCGUGGGGAGCAAACAGGAUUAGAUAUCCUGGUAGUCCACGCCCUAAACGAUGUCAACUAGUUGUUGGGGAUUCAUUUCCUUAGUAACGUAGCUAACGCGUGAAGUUGACCGCCUGGGGAGUACGUCGCAAGAUUAAAACUUAAAUGAAUUGACGGGGUC